This 229-nucleotide ribosomal RNA is filed under the name uncultured bacterium. RNAcentral describes it as "partial 16S ribosomal RNA". It matches the Rfam family "Bacterial small subunit ribosomal RNA", at positions 568 to 796 of the family's 1533-position model. The record is from RNAcentral.
UGCGUAGGCGGGCUAAUAAGUCAGUGGUGAAAUCUCUCGGCUCAACCGGGUAACUGCCAUUGAUACUGUUAGUCUUGAGUUCGGUUGAGGUAGGCGGAAUGUGUAAUGUAGCGGUGAAAUGCUUAGAUAUUACACAGAACACCAAUUGCGUAGGCAGCUUACUAGACCGACACUGACGCUGAGGCACGAAAGCGUGGGGAGCGAACAGGAUUAGAUACCCUGGUAGUCC